Molecule: microRNA precursor, 71 nt
Filed under: Microtus ochrogaster (prairie vole)
Lineage: Eukaryota; Metazoa; Chordata; Mammalia; Rodentia; Cricetidae
Description: miRNA (ENSMOCG00000003389.1)
Rfam family: mir-483 microRNA precursor family
Source: Rfam by way of RNAcentral
GAGGGGGAAGACGGGAGAAGAGAAGGGAGUUGGUUUUGGGCCUCACUCCUCCCCUCCCGUCUUGUUCUCUC